Molecule: transfer RNA, 87 nt
Filed under: Deltalsia parasitica
Lineage: Eukaryota; Rhodophyta; Florideophyceae; Ceramiales; Rhodomelaceae
Description: tRNA-Leu
Rfam family: tRNA
About the family: Transfer RNA (tRNA) molecules are approximately 80 nucleotides in length. Their secondary structure includes four short double-helical elements and three loops (D, anti-codon, and T loops).
Source: RNAcentral
UACUCGCUUGGUGAAAAAAGGUAAACACGAUGGAUUUAAAAUUCAUUCUUAUAAAAAAGUUAUUGGUUCAAAUCCAAUAGUGAGUAU